Long non-coding RNA from Chinchilla lanigera (long-tailed chinchilla), 348 nucleotides. RefSeq lists it as uncharacterized. NCBI's taxonomy places the organism in Eukaryota, Metazoa, Chordata, Mammalia, Rodentia, Chinchillidae. The record is from RefSeq and is a predicted model, not a curated record. The transcript is spliced from 3 exons.
CCAGGCCCUCAGGGGUCAGGGCCAGCCAGGAGUGACCCAAGGAGAGUGAGCCCAGGCAGAGGGACCCAGCUCUCCCUGGAUACCAGUUGCUUAGGCUUGGCCUGAAGUUGGCGAUCCUCCUGCCUCAUCCACCCGAGUAGCCAGGAUUACAGGUGUGCACCAGCUCCCCAGCCAGCCAGACGCUUCUCAUGGGCGAGGCAGCUGACACGAGCCACCUUCAUUUAAGCCUUACAGCCCCUGGUAUGGGGAAGAACCCAAGCUGCGCAGUCAGGUCUCUCCUCUUCACGUGACGACCUCUAGCAGUGCAGUCUCCUCUCAGCCUUUAGAAGAUGGCCAAAGAAAGGGUCU